GACGAACGCUGGCGGCGUGCUUAACACAUGCAAGUCGAACGCUGAAGCUCAGCUUGCUGGGUGGAUGAGUGGCGAACGGGUGAGUAACACGUGAGUAACCUGCCCUCUUCUUUGGGAUAACGCCCGGAAACGGGUGCUAAUACUGGAUAUUCACUGAUUCUCGCAUGGGGGUUGGUGGAAAGGUUUUUUCUGGUGGGGGAUGGGCUCGCGGCCUAUCAGCUUGUUGGUGGGGUGAUGGCCUACCAAGGCUUUGACGGGUAGCCGGCCUGAGAGGGUGACCGGUCACAUUGGGACUGAGAUACGGCCCAGACUACUACGGGAGGCAGCAGUGGGGAAUAUUGCACAAUGGGCGAAAGCCUGAUGCAGCGACGCCGCGUGAGGGAUGGAGGCCUUCGGGUUGUAAACCUCUUUCGCUCAUGGUCAAGCCGCAGCUUGGGGUUGUGGUGAGGGUAGUGGGUAAAGAAGCGCCGGCUAACUACGUG
This 482-nucleotide ribosomal RNA is filed under the name uncultured bacterium. Its description in RNAcentral is "partial 16S ribosomal RNA". It matches the Rfam family "Bacterial small subunit ribosomal RNA", at positions 28 to 507 of the family's 1533-position model. The record is from RNAcentral.